CAUAAACACAGCUUGUGGGCUUCCCUUGCUGUCUCCUUUCUUGGCAUUUAAGACGUACACCUGCCUGCAUUUCAGAUCUUUCUGGCAGGCUCAGGAACACCAGCAGGCUCUUUGCAGCCAUGGGCUGCAUUGAGAAAGUGCAAGAAAACCAAGUGAGGCUCUUGGGCUCUUAGCUCCUCGGCCAGCGUCUCCAGAGUGGCUCGGUUCUGCUCAGCAAGGGGGAGUGUGCACAGCCCAACACACGGGAACCCAGGAGGGGAGCAGGCCAGAAACCCCCACUGAGGGCUGCUGCUGCUUUGAGAAUAGCAACCAUAGCCUCAGGAUCUCCAGCGUUCAGCUCUCAUUUCCUGUGACUUCCGAAUGGGCACUUCGAGAAAACCUACCUGGUGUCUUUUAUAACUUGGGUCCUGAUGGCCCUUGGCAUUUCUUCAUCUGGGAUUGUGAACCCCCGUGGGCCAUGGCUAUGCCCCGCUCCAUGUGACAUACUCUGUGAAGGUCACUGGAUGAAGUUAAACCCAGAAGCCAAGUGCUUUCACUCCAUGCGGUCCAGCCACCUGCAUCACUUAGCUCAUCUUCACAAUGACAGGCUGGGCGGCAUCAUCAUCCCCACCAUGCAGAAGAAGAAACUGAGGCUCGGAGGCAGCUUAGCGACAGAUUCGUAGAACUGCCCAGGACUGCACAGUCUUCUGUGCAAUGUGAUUUACCCAGUUUUCUUACGUUUAUGCCCUCUUUUUGCUUUCUCUAUGAAUACACAAGAUUAAAAAAAAAUCUUUAAGACAAAAUU
RNAcentral lists this long non-coding RNA (784 nucleotides) under Rhinopithecus bieti (black snub-nosed monkey). RNAcentral describes it as "lncRNA (ENSRBIG00000045601.1)". The record is from RNAcentral. Lineage: Eukaryota; Metazoa; Chordata; Mammalia; Primates; Cercopithecidae.